This 1346-nucleotide ribosomal RNA is filed under the name uncultured bacterium. Its description in RNAcentral is "partial 16S ribosomal RNA". It matches the Rfam family "Bacterial small subunit ribosomal RNA", at positions 28 to 1381 of the family's 1533-position model. The record is from RNAcentral.
GACGAACGUUGGCGGCGUGCUUAACACAUGCAAGUCGAACGGAAAGGCCCUGCUUUUGUGGGGUGCUCGAGUGGCGAACGGGUGAGUAACACGUGAGUAACCUGCCCUUGACUUUGGGAUAACUUCAGGAAACUGGGGCUAAUACCGGAUAGGAGCUCCUGCUGCAUGGUGGGGGUUGGAAAGUUUCGGCGGUUGGGGAUGGACUCGCGGCUUAUCAGCUUGUUGGUGGGGUAGUGGCUUACCAAGGCUUUGACGGGUAGCCGGCCUGAGAGGGUGACCGGCCACAUUGGGACUGAGAUACGGCCCAGACUCCUACGGGAGGCAGCAGUGGGGAAUAUUGCACAAUGGGCGGAAGCCUGAUGCAGCAACGCCGCGUGCGGGAUGACGGCCUUCGGGUUGUAAACCGCUUUCGCCUGUGACGAAGCGUGAGUGACGGUAAUGGGUAAAGAAGCACCGGCUAACUACGUGCCAGCAGCCGCGGUGAUACGUAGGGUGCGAGCGUUGUCCGGAUUUAUUGGGCGUAAAGGGCUCGUAGGUGGUUGAUCGCGUCGGAAGUGUAAUCUUGGGGCUUAACCCUGAGCGUGCUUUCGAUACGGGUUGACUUGAGGAAGGUAGGGGAGAAUGGAAUUCCUGGUGGAGCGGUGGAAUGCGCAGAUAUCAGGAGGAACACCAGUGGCGAAGGCGGUUCUCUGGGCCUUUCCUGACGCUGAGGAGCGAAAGCGUGGGGAGCGAACAGGCUUAGAUACCCUGGUAGUCCACGCUGUAAACGGUGGGUACUAGGUGUGGGGUCCAUUCCACGGGUUCCGUGCCGUAGCUAACGCUUUAAGUACCCCGCCUGGGGAGUACGGCCGCAAGGUUAAAACUCAAAGGAAUUGACGGGGCCCCGCACAAGCGGCGGAGCAUGCGGAUUAAUUCGAUGCAACGCGUAGAACCUUACCUGGGUUUGACAUGGAUCGGGAGUGCUCAGAGAUGGGUGUGCCUCUUUUGGGGUCGGUUCACAGGUGGUGCAUGCCUGUCGUCAGCUCGUGUCGUGAGAUGUUGGGUUAAGUCCCGCAACGAGCGCAACCCUUGUUCACUGUUGCCAGCACGUUAUGGUGGGGACUCAGUGGAGACCGCCGGGGUCAACUCGGAGGAAGGUGGGGAUGACGUCAAGUCAUCAUGCCCCUUAUGUCCAGGGCUUCACGCAUGCUACAAUGGCUGGUACAGAGAGUGGCGAGCCUGUGAGGGUGAGCGAAUCUCGGAAAGCCGGUCUCAGUUCGGAUUGGGGUCUGCAACUCGACCUCAUGAAGUCGGAGUCGCUAGUAAUCGCAGAUCAGCAACGCUGCGGUGAAUACGUUCCCGGGGCU